CCAGCCUAUUGACUAUAUAUAGCAUAGUGCAAAAGAAAGGAGAAAACCACUAUGAAUAUGGGGAAGCAAUUAAGGUUUUUGGAAGUUUUGAAGAUAUCACGGUUGAAUCAAUUAAGCCGUUCAUAGUGAAUACCUUAGUAAAUGCUUUGGAUGCUAAAGUAAAAAAAAAAACAAUUGAUGUUAUCCUUACUGGGAUGACGGGAUAAAUCACUUGAUAUUGUAUUAAGUGCAGCAUCAGAAAUUUGACAAGCUAUUCAAAUCAAGGAAAAUGCAAAAGCUGAGCACAUAAUGCUACAAGCUGAACAAAUUCCUGUUAGAUAUUAUGCACAUCAAAUGUUUCAAUUGUGAUGGAUAUGGUCAUAUAGCAACAGAUUGCAAGGAGGUAAAGGGGACAAGAAAGCAAUUAGAAGAAAAAGACAGACUAGAUGUAGAGGAAGAUUGGGGUCUGAAUAUGUAUUGUUAGUGUACCAGUGACCCAAGGUCCAGAACCUAUGGUACAUUUGAAAGUAAAUGAAUUGUAUGUGAUACUGAGGGAAGAAGAAGUAAGUGAUUUUGGUGGGGAGAAUGUAUAUUUAGUGGAAGACCAGCAUUGCCAUCAUUGUUUAAUUCUGAAUGGUCAAGGCUGGGCCUAGAAUCUGUAUUGGCACUGGUGUGUUCUUCAUGUGUUAUUUGUUUACAAUACAAUGCAGGUCAGAGACCUAAAUCAUCCUCCCUGUUCAUGAGGUCCAUUUGUAAAUUUACAAAUAGAUUUCAUUGAAUUACCAAAGGUAAUGCAGUACCGGUAUGUGCUAGUAAUAUUAGAUACAUUCUCAGGUUUGGUUGAGGCUUAUCCUUGUUGCCAUGCGGAUAUUGUCUACAGUGUCUAAGAAAUUGUUACAAGAAUUUAUACCCAGGUAUGGAUUGCCUCUGCACAUUUACUCAGAUCAGGGAACACAUUUCACAGGAAAAGUAGUGCAACAGAUAGCAAAAAUUUAGCAAAUCCCUUACCAUUUACAUUGCUCUCAUCAUCCUCAGUCAGAAGGAGCAGUAGAAAGGGCCAAUGGAACAUUGAAAAAUAAAAUUGCAAAAAUUGUAGCAGAGACAAAGUUAAAGUGGC
This is a non-coding RNA of Pelobates cultripes (western spadefoot toad), 1096 nucleotides long. The record is from the annotation of a GenBank genome assembly. Lineage: Eukaryota; Metazoa; Chordata; Amphibia; Anura; Pelobatidae.